This 2316-nucleotide long non-coding RNA is filed under the name Homo sapiens (human). RNAcentral's name for it is "non-protein coding lnc-CENPB-3:1". Lineage: Eukaryota; Metazoa; Chordata; Mammalia; Primates; Hominidae. The record is from RNAcentral.
CCAAAUAGGGGCAGGUGGCCCCUGGGAAGGUCUGAGCUGAGGGAUACAGGGGACCUCCCACCAUUGCCGGAUACCCUGUUCUUGACAAGAAGAUCCUUUUCCCCAGUGCCAAGCCCCUUGGAUCCAUCAGAGAAAUAGCCUCGGGCCUUGUCCUUUUUCACAACCCCACUUCAAAAUCAUGUCAUCUCCCUGGCCUGAUCCCGCUCUAAGCUACUUUGAACAACUAGGAAUUAUUUUUCUCAGAGGCUUUUUGGGCAUUAUGAAAUACAUCCUGAUACAUCCAGGGCAGUAUACCCAGAGCUCCAGGCAGAGAGUGAUGGAAUCACCUCUUGUCACUCACUAGCCUUAGGCCCUUCUGCAGGUUAGCCUCUCAGUCUCUUCCUUAGCUUCCUUAGCUACCACCCAGGGAUUGUAGUAACGUCCCUGGCACCUCUUGUGGGGGUUAGCUGGUGCCCAGAGCCUGGUAGGCAGCAGGCCUGGUGUCAUGGGGGCUGCUGAUACCACAUAACAUCAUCUGGGUUACAUGGGCUCCUCUGCCAUCAUGAUUGAUAGGAACAGAACCUCAGCCAAAAAGCUUCCUGAGCUGUAGGGGCUUUCCCUGAGGCCCAGGUUCACCUGGCCCCUUUCUUCCUUGGUCAUCUCUGCCUUUGCCCACAGUGAACUCUGACUUGGUUGUUCAGUGCUGAAUAUUUCUUUCUUAAUGUUUUGAAUAGGUAAUCCAUUCAUGUGGUUCACAAAUCAUAAAGUAGUUAAAAGCCUUUCUUGAGUUCCUGAUGCCUAGCAAGCUCCGCUCCUCACUCCAUGAAUACCUACUAUUGGUUUGUUCCUUGGGUAUCCUUCCAGAGAUCAUUUAUGCAUGUACACACAUGUGUAUGUGUGUCUAUAUAAUUUUUCUCCUUUUCUACUCAUGUGAUACCAGACAAGUGUAUUCAAGGAACGCUCCUACUAAUGUGGGAAGAGCCAUCCCAGAAAUCAGAAUACAAAAUGUGAACCCAGAAUUGGGGGAUGUUUUUGCAAUCACACUCCUGUUGAGUAAGACAUAUUUUCAUUUUAUUGCAACAUACUGAAAUUUUAGUUUUCUGUACAAAUCAGAAUCUGCAGUCCCUCCCUUACCCCAAAGUGCUGGGAUUACAGGCGUGAGCCACUGCGCCCGGCCAAUAAUUUUUUUAGUUUAAGUUCAUUUUUGUCCCCGCUGAUGAAAGUUAGAGCUGCUUCCUCCAGGCAGCCCUGGGAGUAGGGGCACAGACUUGUGCCUCGCUUCCCAGCAGCUGCCCAGUGCCUCUGUCCACACCCACCUCCCUGGUGUACUUGCCCCCUACAGCAGCAGCCCAGAUCCUCCCCUGGAUUAAAAUUGCAACUGGUGCCCUAACCCAAAACUUGAGAAAAAAUUCUCUAUCACAUCCACUCUUCUGGCAUUUGUAGAAUCUCUGGCCCUGGGUGUGUCUUUUCCUGUAGCUGUUACAGAUUUCUUAAGCAGAUUUCUUAAGCAGAUGGACAUGUCCAGAUUCAUGCCUAAAUAUCCAGUUGAUAACUGGAAAAUGCUGGUUCACGGUUCUUUAGUAAAGAUUAAUAAGGGAUCCCCAUGUGCUGGGGAGUGUGCUUCCAUUUGAGUGGGGAUAUCAGAAGAAAAAGAGGGGCUUGUGUAGUAAACCUUACUUUGCCAAUUCAGCUGUAGAGCCCAAAUUGUUACAAGAUGCAAAGAUGUACUCCACUUUUUGACCAAGCAUCAGCACCUUUGGCUUACCAUCCAGUCCUUACUUCUGUGACUGUAAGGGCCCCACCAGUGUCAGCAGACUUGUUUGUGCUUUGGGGGAACUCUCUUCUCAGCUCCCUUUGCCAGUCCCAAGCCUGGUGGAUCUGCAUCUCACGCCCACUGCACACCGUUCCUCUCCAUCUGCCCUUCCCUCCCAGGCCCCCGGUCGGGGGAGCAGGUGUGGCAAGUGUUAGGAACUCCCUUCUGGUGACAGCUGGUCUUCCUAGAGUGUUGCUGGUAACUAUCGCCUCUUGGUCUUCUGACAUCAUUGCCAGGAACGGGGCACUUUUUCGUCUUGUAGUUUGGCCCUCGGGUUUCCUCACUAGGUAUUGUGUAACUCCCUCAAAAAAAGGUUUAUGAAAUGCUGAACCUCAGGUUUCAUAGACGUCUUUGUACACUAAAAAUUCUGCAGCAGAAUAUUUUUAAACAUUCGCAGUUUUUUGUAAGCUAUAUUUUUGUAUAUUUAAUUGCUAUUUUAAAAUUUUAAUGCAUUUUGCUAAUCACUCCUCAAAAAUAAAACAUGCAUGUAAUUGACUCAAACGUGUAAAUAAAAGCAAAUUUUG